AGCUUAAACCAUCACCCAAUCUUUUAAAUAUCUAAUAAAGGACAUAGUCACUUGUAGAAAUUGAACUAAUCGUCCUCCCUAUUUCAUUAUCAACUUGAGUAAAGAGAUCUAUUUGCUAUUUGAACAAAUACUAACUCCUAUUUCUCAUAUUUGUUUGACGACAUCCUAAAAGUUAAAAUUUUCACAGAAUACUAUAAAAUAAAAAAGAAAGUUUGAAAAAAAAAGGCAUGCCUCCUUACACAACUUUCUCUUCAGCAUGGUGAAUUGAUAAGCUAAGUAGGAAACAAAUUUGAAAAAUAUCAAUAGUCUUGACAUCAAAACUACUGAAAAUGAUUUCACUUAUAGUUAAACUCAACUUCAACCUUAGAGACUUCAAUUACUUGGUGAAUUAAUAAGCCUAAGUAGGUAAAGAAUCUCGAAAACAUCCAUACUUAAUUGGAUAAGGACCUAUUGAAGCCAAGUAUUGGUGAUUUUAGUGAGUAAUAUAGCUUUUGUAAUAGCUUUACCUAGGAUUUCGGACUAGUGGUGAAUCAGGAGAUGAUGGCUGCUAAAGAGUGAUUUAAGAGGAAUUGUAUUGGUCUUGGAGUAUCACAUUAAAUAGGAGGAUUUUUAUUAUCUUUGACUUUUUC
Molecule: long non-coding RNA, 629 nt
Filed under: Carica papaya (papaya)
Lineage: Eukaryota; Viridiplantae; Streptophyta; Magnoliopsida; Brassicales; Caricaceae
Description: long non-coding RNA (CPAP_LNC010312)
Source: RNAcentral